GCCUGGGUGGCUCAGUCGGUUGAGCGUCUGACUUCGGCUCAGGUCACGAUCUCGCAGUCGGUGAGUUCGAGCCCCGCGUCGGGCU
This is a non-coding RNA of Felis catus (domestic cat), 85 nucleotides long. The record is from Rfam. NCBI's taxonomy places the organism in Eukaryota, Metazoa, Chordata, Mammalia, Carnivora, Felidae.